UCACAGUGUACUUAAGCACUGCACUGAGCCUCACACAGUGUGAAGUAUUGUUUUUGCCACUAUGCCUGUGUGGCAGGAUGAGGCAAUUGCGCUCCCAGGUGUAGCCACUCCCAUCCUGGUUCUGCUAAUGAGCACCAGGCCACCUAUAAAGUGGGACUGUGCAGGCUUUCGCUCAUUGCUGGCUGAUUCGGCCUCCCUGGGUUCCUGCACCUGUCAGUGCAGUGCCAUGAUAUCACCACUCCAUGUCGCACAGCGAGGCGACUUGUGACUGGAGUAAAGGUGAAAUGGGAACCGAGCGCAUCGCUCCAUGUUCCUCCCAGUGAUGUCCUGCCAUGACUGGAUGUUUGGAACCCGCUGCUGCUUGGGAGUUUCUGUAUUGGGAGUGUUCAGAGUUUUCACGGGUCCCUUUCAUCUGCUCCUCUGGUCGGACGGGUCAGCCGCUGACGGCGGCAUCUCCUCUCCCACCUCCCUUGUGGCCGACCACGUGACUGCACAGGUGCUCUUGGGACUUAGGACUGUUGGAACUCAUGACCAGCUACCCCUACCUGCAAUAGUAACCACACAAGUGGGAGUUCACUUGUGUUUUACUUAUUUUUUUGCUUUGAUUUUUUUUU
Molecule: long non-coding RNA, 614 nt
Organism: Oryzias latipes (Japanese medaka)
Lineage: Eukaryota; Metazoa; Chordata; Actinopteri; Beloniformes; Adrianichthyidae
Source: RefSeq, a predicted model, not a curated record